ACGAACGAGGUUGGUGCAGCGAUCGCGUAGGUUCAAGCCCUGCCGAGGGUGCCGAUGCGGCAACGGAGAUCGUUCCGUGUUGUCGACCGGAGGCAGUGCCGUACUCCUCGUGAUUGCGUACCAGCAGCGGUUGGACCGGGGCCACAAGGCAGCAGCGGAAGGUGAGUYGAUGCGAGCCAGUCUUGCAUUGACAGCUUAUAGCCCUGCUGUGCGGUGCUCCGGCGCGACCGAGGAAGCUGGGCAGCCCUUGCCCAUYGUGGUGCACGCUGUACGGCGGGGCCUCCCAACACGAUUGAACCGUGCGGUGUGGACUGCAUGCAGUGCUCACCGUUGCUGUGAUCUCGUGUUGGUGAGUGCCACUAGUGUGCCAGUGCUGCUGGUGUUCAGAUGGCCUCGUCCGA
RNAcentral lists this ribosomal RNA (401 nucleotides) under Hyrtios sp. GW3252. RNAcentral describes it as "partial 28S large subunit ribosomal RNA". RNAcentral also lists the same sequence under 1 other name. The record is from RNAcentral. Lineage: Eukaryota; Metazoa; Porifera; Demospongiae; Dictyoceratida; Thorectidae.